UAGCAUAAUUCCCUUCUACAAUGUUUUGAUUUUUUUCCAGCAUCUGUCUGCUUUUUGACACUGUCUACUGCCUUCAGGAAGUUUUGUCUUUCUUCAAAGAUAAAAUAUAACUGUCAUCUGCAUGAAGGUUAGUCUAAGGGUUGAUCUGAGUUAUUUAGUCAUACAGAAGCCUUGAUAUUCAUUUUAAAACUUAUUGGUGACUUUAUUUACUUGCUUCAAUACGUCAAAUUCCAAUAGAACAAUGUGGUUUUUUUUGCCUUACAUCAUCACCUCUAUCACUCAUUUUAUUUCAUAAUAACUCUCUUAGUACCUAAUGCAGUCUCUCUUGCUAUCAGAUAUUUUUAGGAAAAUAUUUUUAUUGAAAUUUAAAAUAUAUUAUUAAAAAUGCACAGAUAACAAGUGUACCACUUGAUGAAUUUUUCUCAAGAUAAACAGACCAUAGUAGCCAGCAACCAGAUCAGGAAAUAGAAUAUUAUCAGUGCCACCGACAAUCACCUUAUGCCAUCUCCCAGUCACCAUAAACCCUCUUCCCUAACAGACAGAGCAGCAUGUGGAGGCUCGCAUCAUGAAUUUUUGCUCCACAACAACUGAAGGAAUAAAUCAGGAAACCUGAGAGGAUCCACAGACCCCCUGAAGGAAGCGGAUUGCUCCUGCAGGACCCGGCAGACACCCCAAAUACUGUGAUGCCCAAACUGUGGAAGUGGGAAAGGGAGAUGGUCCAGGAAGCUGAAGGCCUACAUUACAAGGGAAGAUUUUGACCUUACCUGGAGCUGAGUCAAUUUAGAGAGCCCAGCAUAAUACAGGGGUAGAGGUGGCAGCAGGAAACCCCUGGAAGCUCACUGGGUCCCCUACCAAGCCGUUUUUGCCUGAUCUCAGAGAAGACCUUCAGGAGGGAGGCCAGAGGCACUGGGAAAAGGCCACAGGGAGAAGGAAAUCUCCAGCUGAAUUUUGUAACAAUUUGAACUGAUCGAGAAGCCUCCUGGCCAGAACUCGGCAGAGGGCAUGAAUCCGAUAUUGCAGAUUCCAUGGGCAGGGGAAGAAUCAAAUCCCUUUUCUUUCACAGCUGAGGUGGGUAUCCUGGGGCAAGUUCUCAAACCCUGCUCACACACGGCCCAGAAACACACAGUGCUGUUAGAGGGGGCACGCUGCAGGUCAGACCAGCCUUUCUGAUUGUUUAGGAGACAGGUGAGGCCUGUAACUGCCAGCUUUCCCCCCACUUCCCUGACAACCUGCAUGACUCAGCAGAGGCAGCCAUAAUCCUCCUAGGUACACAAUUCCAUUGACCCGGGAACCUCACCCCCAUCCUCCACAGCAGCCCCAGCUAGACCAUCCAAGUAGAGUCUAAGUUUAAACAUGCCUAGCCCUGCCCCCACCUGAUGCGCCUUCCCUACCCACCCUGGUAGCUGAAGACAA
Molecule: long non-coding RNA, 1413 nt
Filed under: Homo sapiens (human)
Lineage: Eukaryota; Metazoa; Chordata; Mammalia; Primates; Hominidae
Description: HSALNT0312892
Source: RNAcentral